CUCUCUGUGGCGCAAUCGGUUAGCACGUUCGGCUGUUAACUGUUAGGUUGGUGGUUCAAGUCUACCCAAGGACG
This is a non-coding RNA of Danio rerio (zebrafish), 74 nucleotides long. NCBI's taxonomy places the organism in Eukaryota, Metazoa, Chordata, Actinopteri, Cypriniformes, Danionidae. The record is from Rfam.